UACCAUACAGAGAAGAUUAUUAGCAUGGCCCCUGAGCAAGGAUAACAUGCAAAUUCAUGAAGUGUUCCAUAUUUUA
RNAcentral lists this small RNA (76 nucleotides) under Marmota monax (woodchuck). The record is from RNAcentral. Lineage: Eukaryota; Metazoa; Chordata; Mammalia; Rodentia; Sciuridae.